CUAGCGACUCCGACUUCAUGGGGUCGAGUUGCAGACCCCAAUCCGAACUGAGACCGGUUUUUUGGGAUUCGCUCCACCUUACGGUUUCGCAGCCCAUUGUACCGGCCAUUGUAGCAUGCGUGAAGCCCAAGACAUAAGGGGCAUGAUGAUUUGACGUCAUCCCCACCUUCCUCCGAGUUGACCCCGGCAGUCUUCCAUGAGUCCCCACCAUUACGUGCUGGCAACAUAAAACGAGGGAUGCGCUCGUUGCGGGACUUAACCCAACAUCACACGACACGAGCUGACGACAACCAUGCACCACCUGUAUACCGACCAAAAAGGGGCACCCAUCUCUGGGUGUUACCGGUAUAUGUCAAGCCUUGGUAAGGUUCUUCGCGUUGCAUCGAAUUAAUCCGCAUGCUCCGCCGCUUGUGCGGGCCCCCGUCAAUUCCUUUGAGUUUUAGCCUUGCGGCCGUACUCCCCAGGCGGGGCGCUUAAUGCGUUAGCUGCGGCACGGAACUCGUGGAAUGAGUCCCACACCUAGCG
This 525-nucleotide ribosomal RNA is filed under the name uncultured bacterium. RNAcentral's name for it is "partial 16S ribosomal RNA". The record is from RNAcentral.